This is a long non-coding RNA of Zootoca vivipara (common lizard), 4030 nucleotides long. RefSeq lists it as uncharacterized. NCBI's taxonomy places the organism in Eukaryota, Metazoa, Chordata, Lepidosauria, Squamata, Lacertidae. The record is from RefSeq and is a predicted model, not a curated record.
CUAUUAUAUGUAAUUUACAGCACUUGUCACACUGCUGCAGGGGUGAUUUAAAGAGGGGGAAAAGAGGACUUAAAAGUACUGCAUAAAACAACAGGAAAUCAAAGAAUGUUUCCUCCAGGAGUCCCAGGUAUUUGAUAUUUUUCUUGCCCAUGGACACUUAAUUUCACUACAUGAACCAGUAUAAUAAUAAAAGUGUCACAUAUCUUAUUAAUGCAAACAAAUGGAAACAGGUUUCCAGAGCAUGAACACCACUGCCUAAGUAUGUGGGAAAAGGAAGAAAAGCAAUGUAAUGACAGCACAAUUACCAUCACUCACAAGAGCUAAGAUGAGGACUUCUUAUAGCAAUAAAAUACUUUUAAAAUGGCACCAAUGACAUUCCCCAAAGAAAAACAUAUUUUGUAAAGCCAGCUUUUAGUUAUAACAAACACAAACAUCGUUCUUUAUACAUACACACACAAGUAAGCCUCUCAUGGAGUUUAAUGGAAAUAUUGAUGCAAAUAUAGCCAUCAGGUGUUUAACUCAAAUGCACCACCUUCUCUCAACAAUGUGUGAGGAGGAAUGACAUUAUCUGCAUUUGUAAAACACAAUUUUCAUUUCAUUUUCCUAAGAGGAAAUAGAAACACACACAGGCGUUUUGGACCACUGGACUGGUUAUUUAUUUAUUUUACAUUUAUGAGCAAACACAGCUCCAGUGCUUUUAACCACUCUGGUAUAAGCAAAAAGCUCCAUGCGCAAGAUAUAAUUAUUUGCUUGUCAUCAUGAUGUAUGAGUUUCAAUCCGAGCUAAAUGGAAGAACUGUAUAAGGAAGCCACAGCGAGCUUACCUGCACCGAUCACACGUUCUAUUUUAAUACAGGAGGCAUCUAACUCCUUGGCGAAUUGAUGGACAGCCCUAUUUGGAUCCUCGUAGGUUUCAGGGUCAAUGUAGGUUUUGGUGCCUGGAAAUUUAACUGUAAUGAUGUAAGAAAGCAUGACUGUGAUGAAGCAAAGCACUUAUUGUGCAGUCAAUCCCGGAAUUUCAUUAAGCAGAGCGCACCCUAGAACAAAAUAAAAAAAUUCCUUCCAGUAGCACCUUAGAGACCAACUAAGUUUGUCAUUGGUAUGAGCUUUCGUGUGCAUGCAGACUUCUUCAGAUACCCUAAAACAGUGAGGCUCCUGUUGAGCCAGCUAGGUAAGGCAAACAGGUUUUUCUCAGGAAACACCUCCCCAUUCCUUACAUUUGUGGUCAUCAAGCAACUUUGCAGGAUAACCCAUCUGAGAUGGGGUGAAAGGUGAAAACCCAAUUCUUUCUUCCCCAGUAGAACCCGCAGGCUCUGCUGCCACAGUCACUAUUCACUCCAUUAACUGUGGACUGGCAACUGGGAUAGCCAAAAGAUUGUACGGAUUUGGCCCUGAGAGCUCUAGUUGCUGAUCCCUACCUUACACUUACAUUGUCUUGAGUGAAUGGAGUAAAUGUUUCUAACAAGUUCAUUGUUUUGAGUAUCUGUCUUUUAUCCACAUCCUGUGUUCUGAAAAAAUAUAUACUGAGACCUCCACCCAACUGAAUCUUCCUGCAGAGAGGUAAGUGUCUUGCCAGAGGGGCACUGGGAUACCUCUGUGCCUUCUCACAACCUCUUUUCAUGCUGCUGGUGUUGGCCUGCUUUUGGUAGGCUUGCCAAGCAAGAGGUGGAAGAUACUGAAAGGGCAGAGAUCAGAAAGGUGACUAUUCUGAGAUGAAAUAUAACUGGUGCCAACCUCUAUUUCCCCCCUAACACUAAGUGUUAUCACAUUUUGACAGUCUUAUCUCUCUCUGACAUAUAAAUGACACGUCGUCUUGGGCUCUCUCUGGUUUCAUUUAUCCACAGGAUUCUGUUAUGUCUUCCCCAGCUGUGAGUGUACUGGCGAGUAGGAAAACGUGCAGAUCAGUAUUGUAGAAAAUGAAUGCAAGCUUCCCCACCCUUCAGAAUUUCACAUUGAUCUUCCCGAUCAAAUGUUGGAUAGCCAUAAAUUGCUGCUCUGAACUCCUUUGGGACAAAGGGUGAUAUAUAAAUUUAAUUAGUAAAUGAAUAAUAUAGGGCAAGUGGUGUGUUUACGUUGUUUCUUUGGGACACAGUUACACCUGUCGUUUGAGCACACUGGUUUGUUUGUUGUUGGUGGUGGUGGUGGUAGGGAGGUUAAGGGAUGAAAUACAAGAAGCAGAAUGCUCUUGUAUUUGGCCUAAUCACCAAGAUAUGGGGCUGAGAAAAGAAGUUUUCAGACACAGAUUCCAUCAAUUUUGAGAAAGGUCUUCCAUGAACUAGUCAUGGGUGACAUAUUCAGCAGGGAUCACAUGUUUCAAACUGCAGAAGCGAAGUUAUUAAAAAUGAUGCCAUGGGGAAAGAAUGCUAGUGAUGUGGAGGUCAUCCACAGAGCUGAAUAGCCAUACUGAGGAUCUGCAAGAAAUUAUUCCACAUCUUCCCCAGAGGUUACUUUUGCUGCACUGUAUUUUUCAAUAGGUUUAGUGCUAAUCAUAAUAAUAAUGGCUCAGCUUCUGCAGCUGAUAAGGGCUCAUUUUUUAUUUACGUCCCCAACCAGAAGGGAAAGAGAGCAGAAAACAAUAGGUUAACUGCCUAUAUUGUGCUCUCAAGCAAGCAGAUGGAGAAUGAGCCAUCUUCUUGUGCUUGCGAUAAGGAGCCUGGAUUGGAGGUAACCUUGUGAAUCAUAAAUGGGUCUCUGAUGGUACUUUAUUCAAGCUGUCAUAAAACAUUUUGACAGGCCAACGCUUUCUUGGCAUACCAACGUGAAAUAGUGCUCCCUCAGAAUCAAAGACAUUGUUAAAAGAAAAUGGUAGGAGGAAACAAAAUGUAAAUUGCAAUUGGUUGACUAAACUCUUCCAUUGUGUUAUACCUUUAAAAACGUAACACUUGGGAUCAUUCAAAGUUGAGGGGAAUUGAAUGGGAAGACUGGACAUUCUAUUAAAUUCACUGAUCUGAAAGCUAGUUAAAAGGAUUGCUGUUUCAGGUUACUGUGAAAAUCCAGUCUGAUGUUUUAGCAUAUAAGAAAAUUGUCUGUAUACCACAGGAACAAAAGGAUGCAAAAUUGGAAAUCAUUGGUGACUUCAACACCGUGCUUUGUUUCUCCCCAGAAACAAUGAUCAUAUCAAAUUAAAUACUAUGCUUUUUAUCAAAAGGCUCUAAAAAUGUAGUCGAGUAAAGAUGAAAAUCAUAAGACUUUGGGGUUGGCUUCAUGGUUGGUUAUCUUUUCUGACAGACUGUAAGCUUCCCUAGAUAUUGGAUAACUAGAUUUCUUGAAAGGAAUACAAGGAAGGAAUGAAGUGUUAUUUUCAAUUUCAGUUUCUGACUAUUAAGACUAGGCUGUUAACCUAUUUACAUUUUCUUUCCCUAAAACAUAUCAUCUAAAAAUAGUGCAUGGUGGGGAAAACCAUUCUCCAGCUAGCACUUGCACUUUCCCUACAGACACAUGUAAAGGGAAAAAAAUGCUUGAUUUCAUUUCUUUCUCAGACAUCACUCGGUAGGGAAUACUGAAAAGACCUUAAAGUAUUUUAAGGAUAUGAAGAGCCUCACUACAACUAAAAUAGGAUGGUGUUACUAAGAUUCUAUCCUUCAGAGGAACUUCAUUUCAAAGAAAGCAUCAGAAAGCGCUGUGGGAACUGAUGGAUGACCCAAAAGAAAACAAAAGUACGUUGAAACUUUGGUGCGUAUUUCAAAAUUAUUCUCCUCUCCUAAAUGUAUGCUAUAAUUCUUCAAUCAAUUACACAUUCUGAUUGCAGAACAAUGUAAUUAAUCAACAACUAGUUUUUAUAUGCGGACUAUCAUUUGGGAUCUGAUCAUACUUGAAAUAUUGUUAUGGGAGGAAAACCUCUAUUGAGCAGACAGAGGUGACUACAAGAUGUUUCUGCUGAAAUGUAAGUGAUGUUAUCAACAGAGAUCAACUUUAAGAGGAUCUAGGCAGCUCUGAGUUCACUAGGCAUAGCAGCUGGAGAGCAAGUAUGAUACUACAAACAACUAUUUCUGAUCCUCUUCUAUGUAAUGCUGAUUUUACCAGGGUUUUUU